Molecule: small nucleolar RNA, 102 nt
Organism: Hippopotamus amphibius kiboko
Lineage: Eukaryota; Metazoa; Chordata; Mammalia; Artiodactyla; Hippopotamidae
Product: small nucleolar RNA U13
Exons: 1
Source: RefSeq, a predicted model, not a curated record
AUCCUUUUGUAGUUCAUGAGCAUGAUGAUUGGGUGUUCACACAAUUGUGUGACGUGUCUCCAUCAAACCUUGUUACAAUACUGGCAUAUUACCCGUCUGAUG